GUGGGCGUAGCUCAGUUGGUAGAGCACUGGAUUGUGGCUCCAGUGGUCGGGAGUUCAAGCCUCCUCGCCCACCCCA
RNAcentral lists this transfer RNA (76 nucleotides) under Acidobacteria bacterium CG_4_9_14_3_um_filter_49_7. RNAcentral describes it as "tRNA-His". It matches the Rfam family "tRNA". From Rfam's summary of the family: Transfer RNA (tRNA) molecules are approximately 80 nucleotides in length. Their secondary structure includes four short double-helical elements and three loops (D, anti-codon, and T loops). Lineage: Bacteria; Pseudomonadati; Acidobacteriota. The record is from RNAcentral. RNAcentral also lists the same sequence under 1 other name.